GAUGAACGCUGGCGGCGUGCCUAAUACAUGCCAGUCGAGCGAACAGACGAGGAGCUUGCUCCUCUGACGUUAGCGGCGGACGGGUGAGUAACACGUGGAUAACCUACCUAUAAGACUGGGAUAACUUCGGGAAACCGGAGCUAAUACCGGAUAAUAUAUUGAACCGCAUGGUUCAAAUGUGAAAGACGGUUUUGCUGUCACUUAUAGAUGGAUCCGCGCCGCAUUAGCUAGUUGGUAAGGUAACGGCUUACCAAGGCAACGAUGCGUAGCCGACCUGAGAGGGUGAUCGGCCACACUGGAACUGAGACACGGUCCAGACUCCUACGGGAGGCAGCAGUAGGGAAUCUUCCGCAAUGGGCGAAAGCCUGACGGAGUAACGCCGCGUGAGUGAUGAAGGUCUUCGGAUCGUAAAACUCUGUUAUUAGGGAAGAACAAAUGUGUAAGUAACUAUGCACGUCUUGACGGUACCUAAUCAGAAAGCCACGGCUAACUACGUG
Molecule: ribosomal RNA, 497 nt
Filed under: uncultured bacterium
Lineage: Bacteria
Description: partial 16S ribosomal RNA
Rfam family: Bacterial small subunit ribosomal RNA
Source: RNAcentral